CGGCGGACGGGUGAGUAACACGUGGAUAACCUACCUAUAAGACUGGGAUAACUUCGGGAAACCGGAGCUAAUACCGGAUAAUAUAUUGAACCGCAUGGUUCAAUAGUGAAAGACGGUUUUGCUGUCACUUAUAGAUGGAUCCGCGCCGCAUUAGCUAGUUGGUAAGGUAACGGCUUACCAAGGCAACGAUGCGUAGCCGACCUGAGAGGGUGAUCGGCCACACUGGAACUGAGACACGGUCCAGACUCCACGGGAGGCAGCAGUU
This 265-nucleotide ribosomal RNA is filed under the name uncultured Staphylococcus sp. Its description in RNAcentral is "partial 16S ribosomal RNA". It matches the Rfam family "Bacterial small subunit ribosomal RNA", at positions 96 to 355 of the family's 1533-position model. Lineage: Bacteria; Bacillati; Bacillota; Bacilli; Caryophanales; Staphylococcaceae. The record is from RNAcentral.